RNAcentral lists this ribosomal RNA (494 nucleotides) under uncultured bacterium. RNAcentral describes it as "partial 16S ribosomal RNA". It matches the Rfam family "Bacterial small subunit ribosomal RNA", at positions 29 to 507 of the family's 1533-position model. The record is from RNAcentral.
UACGAACGCUGGCGGCGUGCUUAACACAUGCAAGUCGAACGGAAAGGCCUGCUUUCCCUUGUGGAUUGCGGGUACUCGAGUGGCGAACGGGUGAGUAACACGUGAGUGAUCUGCCCCCAACUUGGGUAUAAGCCUGGGAAACUGGGUCUAAUUCCCGAUAGGACUGCAGGGUGGUGCCUGUGGUGGAAAACGAUUUUCUAGUGGUUGGGGAUGAGCUCGCGGCCUAUCAGCUUGUUGGUGGGGUAAUGGCCUACCAAGGCGGCGACGGGUAGCCGGCCUGAGAGGGUGGACGGCCACAUUGGGACUGAGAUACGGCCCAGACUCCUGCGGGCGGCAGCAGUGGGGAAUAUUGCACAAUGGGCGGAAGCCUGAUGCAGCGACGCCGCGUGGGGGAUGACGGCCUUCGGGUUGUAAACUCCUUUCGACCUCGAGGAAGCCACCUGGUUGGAAGGGUGGUGACGGUAGUGGUAGAAGAAGCACCGGCUAACUACGUG